Molecule: long non-coding RNA, 494 nt
Organism: Tachyglossus aculeatus (Australian echidna)
Lineage: Eukaryota; Metazoa; Chordata; Mammalia; Monotremata; Tachyglossidae
Exons: 3
Source: RefSeq, a predicted model, not a curated record
UUUUAGAAAGAAAGGCCAUUUGGAAGUGAUGACAAGGAACAAUUCUUCUGGACUCCAGAGGGAUAUUUAUUCCUGGGAUCCAGCACUGAUCUGGGGGUGAACAAUCUGUGAUUUCAUGUGCCGCAAGGAAAAGAAAUUAAAUAACUUUUGACUAACAUGAGACAAGAAGAGAGACCUUCAUUUCCUUCCCAUCCUGAUCUGUGUUUCCCACACCACCAAAAAAAUGCCAGGUCGAUACCUUCGAUUGACCGAUUGAAAAUUGGAUUGAUCGAGUCCUUCGCCGUGGAUGUGUCCAGCUCAGAUUCCUAAAUCUUUCAGCCCCAAGGUGACCAGACACCCGCAAAAGCCAACCCCGCAGAGGCUCGAGCCACGGAAAGGUGGCAGUCUGCCACCUGGCACCCACAGACGGAGGGCCGGGCCUUCCUCUGGAGAGACCCCGGGUGGCCACCGCUCUCAGCAUCCGCCCCGUCGGCCGGGCCUCCACUCUUUAUCAU